GGUGGAUGUAGCUCAGGUGGUUAGAGCGCUGGAUUGUGGUUCCAGAGGUCGUGGGUUCGAGUCCCAUCCUCCACCC
This 76-nucleotide transfer RNA is filed under the name Bacteroidales bacterium. Its description in RNAcentral is "tRNA-His". It matches the Rfam family "tRNA". From Rfam's summary of the family: Transfer RNA (tRNA) molecules are approximately 80 nucleotides in length. Their secondary structure includes four short double-helical elements and three loops (D, anti-codon, and T loops). The record is from RNAcentral. Lineage: Bacteria; Pseudomonadati; Bacteroidota; Bacteroidia; Bacteroidales.